Molecule: long non-coding RNA, 827 nt
Organism: Haliotis rufescens (red abalone)
Lineage: Eukaryota; Metazoa; Mollusca; Gastropoda; Lepetellida; Haliotidae
Exons: 3
Source: RefSeq, a predicted model, not a curated record
UUAAUGUUUACCUGUACUUGUUGAGAGCCAAGGUUGAAGUCAUUCAUGUGUGAAAAAUGUUGUCGAGGCAUCUGUAAACGGCUAAAGAAAUGCAAAUGUAGCCUAGUUUAGACUAUGCACUUGCUUUGUGUACAGAUGUGACGGCGAGGUAAGGGCAACCUGACACACAUGCGCAUUAAUAGCCAUGUUUACCUGUACUUGUACUUGACUGCCAAAAAUGCUGUCGAGGCAUGUGUACAUGUUCUUUGUCGAAUUGCAUUAUUAAAGUACAUCAAGAUGAGACAUCAUAUACAUUCAUAUAUAUUUGUUGAGCACGAAACCUUGAAGUGUAGCCAGGACAUUUCCUCGAAACUAUGGGCGGCCUUGUAGCUUCAAUAUCUUAUAAAUUAUAGGUCAAGGUGUAUUCAGCAAACAAAGAUCCGAAGGGCUGUAUUUCCUUCAUCGAACACACUAUGCGUUCAUCACAGUUUGUGACGGAUUACGGAUACGAACGAACUAGCACUUGUUUUGCAGGCCGCGUCAUAUGGCUGGAAUAUUGCUGGGUGUCGUAAAACAAGAAACAACCGAGUGAACACUCACUUAUAAUGUCGUCGCCAUAUAGCUGGGUCUGUUGCUAAGUGCGACGUUAAACAAAGCUCACUUGUUCAAGGUAUCAACAUUCAACAUGUUUGACUGUUCAAGGCAUCAAUAUGUGAUAAGUAUGGCUGCACAAGAUAUAAUAAAAGGUGAAGAACCAGGUUAGAAUAGGUCUUCAGCAACCCAUGCUUGCUGUGAGAGGUGACUAUGGUUAUCGUAAGAGGCGAAUAACGUGAUUGGGUGGUCACACU